Molecule: long non-coding RNA, 819 nt
Organism: Eurytemora carolleeae
Lineage: Eukaryota; Metazoa; Arthropoda; Copepoda; Calanoida; Temoridae
Exons: 3
Source: RefSeq, a predicted model, not a curated record
CUGAUCAUAAAUACAUAAUUAUCCCUCCUCAUAUAAAUGCAGGACUAGGAGAAUUUUGUGACAAUUGAUCCAAGAAUCUAACAUGCUAAAGUGUUUUACCUUUAACGAAGAACAAAAAGAAGCUACCCGUGUAUCCUCCAAACUACGGCAAACCAGGGACAAAAAACAGAAAGUUCUAUGUAGAUGCAUGUAAUUUUAGCGAUUUAAAGAUAAAAAAUUAGAUGUCUGACGUAUAGAUUUUUAUGUGGUUCCAUCUAAAUAAUAUUUCUAAAUCUGUUUUUUCUCUCAGAAUUAGUUGUCAGGAACCUACUGAAUGGCAAAAUAAAGCGGAAAAACUCUUACAAAACGUAUUUCCCGAAUCAUAAAAAAUAUUAUCCUGCUAAAUAUUUUCCUAAUCGUAAACAAGAUCUAAGUUAGUAAUCCCAUGUUUAUCGAUAAGCAGCGAACUAUUGAGACCUGGCUGACUGUAAACUUUUGUUUUAGUUUACACAUUGAUUAAUAAGGACUUCAAAUACAUCAGUGCUGUAUGAUUCUUAAUAAGUAAAGCUCAUUUUCAUUUUCUUUUCCCCUGCUGAAUCUUAUAGUUUGACUAACCUGAAUAAAAGUAAGAUGUUACAACGUCUUAAAAUAAACAGAUGUAAAUUAUUCAACCUGUUGUUGUUUUUUUGGUAGGACGGAGUUUACUCAUAGUUACUCCCGCCGUUUACCCACGCUUGGUCUUAGAAUAAGAUGCUUAUAUAUAAAAGUGCAGACUCAACUUAGAAUCUCAAAACCAAGCUAAGAACAUCCUUGUGACUCUCCCGAGUUCCCCAAUCAAAA